AUUGAACGCUGGCGGCAGGCUUAACACAUGCAAGUCGAGCGGGGAAAAGUAGCUUGCUACUUUACCUAGCGGCGGACGGGUGAGUAAUGCUUAGGAAUCUGCCUAUUAGUGGGGGACAACAUCUCGAAAGGGAUGCUAAUACCGCAUACGUCCUACGGGAGAAAGCAGGGGACCUUCGGGCCUUGCGCUAAUAGAUGAGCCUAAGUCGGAUUAGCUAGUUGGUGGGGUAAAGGCCUACCAAGGCGACGAUCUGUAGCGGGUCUGAGAGGAUGAUCCGCCACACUGGGACUGAGACACGGCCCAGACUCCUACGGGAGGCAGCAGUGGGGAAUAUUGGACAAUGGGGGGAACCCUGAUCCAGCCAUGCCGCGUGUGUGAAGAAGGCCUUUUGGUUGUAAAGCACUUUAAGCGAGGAGGAGGCUACCGAGAUUAAUACUCUUGGAUAGUGGACGUUACUCGCAGAAUAAGCACCGGCUAACUCUGU
This 484-nucleotide ribosomal RNA is filed under the name uncultured bacterium. RNAcentral's name for it is "partial 16S ribosomal RNA". It matches the Rfam family "Bacterial small subunit ribosomal RNA", at positions 30 to 506 of the family's 1533-position model. The record is from RNAcentral.